UUCUGAGAAGACGUCGCGGGCCCCAACCCAGAGCUGCGUUUGGACCGGAAUUGGGAAACGUCGCAGGCGACGGAAAUUUCAUGGAAGUAUAGCUGCAAGUAUCUGGGAUGCCACUAUUAAAAGUACCACUUAGAAAACAGAAAGAAAUUGAGCAAGAGAGGCAUUUGCAAGCCAACAACAAAGAAUUCAAUGAAAAAUUUGAAUAUGUGAACAAUGCCAUUAAGACCUCAAAAUACAAUUUCUUCACAUUCCUGCCCAUGAAUCUAUUUGAACAAUUUCAGAGAGUAGCA
Non-coding RNA from Phascolarctos cinereus (koala), 290 nucleotides. The record is from RefSeq and is a predicted model, not a curated record. NCBI's taxonomy places the organism in Eukaryota, Metazoa, Chordata, Mammalia, Diprotodontia, Phascolarctidae.